RNAcentral lists this ribosomal RNA (466 nucleotides) under Vreelandella stevensii. Its description in RNAcentral is "partial 16S ribosomal RNA". It matches the Rfam family "Bacterial small subunit ribosomal RNA", at positions 338 to 795 of the family's 1533-position model. Lineage: Bacteria; Pseudomonadati; Pseudomonadota; Gammaproteobacteria; Oceanospirillales; Halomonadaceae. The record is from RNAcentral.
CCUACGGGGCGGCAGCAGUGGGGAAUAUUGGACAAUGGGCGAAAGCCUGAUCCAGCCAUGCCGCGUGUGUGAAGAAGGCCUUCGGGUUGUAAAGCACUUUCAGUGGGGAAGAAAGCCUUGGGGCUAAUACCCUCGAGGAAGGACAUCACCCACAGAAGAAGCACCGGCUAACUCCGUGCCAGCAGCCGCGGUAAUACGGAGGGUGCGAGCGUUAAUCGGAAUUACUGGGCGUAAAGCGCGCGUAGGCGGUCUGAUAAGCCGGUUGUGAAAGCCCCGGGCUCAACCUGGGAACGGCAUCCGGAACUGUCAGGCUAGAGUGCAGGAGAGGAAGGUAGAAUUCCCGGUGUAGCAGUGAAAUGCGUAGAGAUCGGGAGGAAUACCAGUGGCGAAGGCGGCCUUCUGGACUGACACUGACGCUGAGGUGCGAAAGCGUGGGUAGCAAACAGGAUUAGAUACCCCAGUAGUC